Molecule: ribosomal RNA, 465 nt
Filed under: uncultured bacterium
Lineage: Bacteria
Description: partial 16S ribosomal RNA
Rfam family: Bacterial small subunit ribosomal RNA
Source: RNAcentral
CCUACGGGAGGCAGCAGUAGGGAAUCUUCCACAAUGGGCGAAAGCCUGAUGGAGCAACGCCGCGUGGGUGAAGAAGGUCUUCGGAUCGUAAAACCCUGUUGUUAGAGAAGAAAGUGCGUGAGAGUAACUGUUCACGUUUCGACGGUAUCUAACCAGAAAGCCACGGCUAACUACGUGCCAGCAGCCGCGGUCAUACGUAGGUGGCAAGCGUUAUCCGGAUUUAUUGGGCGUAAAUGGCACGCAGGCGGUCUUUUAAGUCUGAUGUGAAAGCCUUCGGCUUAACCGGAGUAGUGCAUUGGAAACUGGGAGACGUGAGUGCAGAAGAGGAGAGUGGAACUCCAUGUGUAGCGGUGAAAUGCGUAGAUAUAUGGAAGAACACCAGUGGCGAAAGCGGCUCUCUGGUCUGUAACUGACGCUGAGGUUCGAAAGCGUGGGUAGCAAACAGGAUUAGAUACCCUGGUAGUC